Molecule: long non-coding RNA, 669 nt
Organism: Prunus dulcis (almond)
Lineage: Eukaryota; Viridiplantae; Streptophyta; Magnoliopsida; Rosales; Rosaceae
Exons: 3
Source: RefSeq, a predicted model, not a curated record
UCUAUGCAUUUUCCGUCGAAAGGAGCCUGAUCUCACAAAUGACAAAAGCUUUAUCCUCGGGCCUUCAGAGUUUCAAAUAAAGAGAGUGAGCACAGAUCUGAGAAAGUGAGAGAUGAGAGACACAGAGAGAAGGUCAGGAAAUUCUAACCCUCCGAACCAAGCUUCAUCAGAUCUAUGCCAAAGGAGAAGGGCUCAUACGGCCGAACAAUGGCAUUGGCUCUGUGAUCGGAGCCUUCGUUUUUGACCAGAUUCACGAGCAUGAAGAAAGAGAGAUUUAACGCUUCGAUGCGAUUCUUGUUUCGCGAGAUUUAACGCCUCGAUGGCCGCCAUGGCUUCUACGUCAGAGGUAGUCCUACUGUCCUAGCCGGGCGAGCACGAUCGGAUCCGUUCAAGAGCUUGUCGUUGAAAUGGCGUGGGAAUUAACAGCAACACCGGAGAUCUGAUGGGGCUAGGUCCUCCAUGGCAGCUUGCUCAAGAUGCGAUGUGCAUUGAUAGAGGCACUGACAGCUGGGCUUCCAUAUCUUUAAGGAAAUCUAAAACCGGAGGCUAGCAGGAUUUCACCUCAAAUUCCUUUUUUAUUUUUUUCUUUUGCUGUUUUGAUCUCAUUUCAAUGAAAAGAAGCCUGUACAAUAUAAAUCUUUUUAUUUGAGUGCUGCGGAUUGUAAUUAA